CUGCUGCUGUCUUUAUUAGCUCUUCCAUUGUCUGUGGAACCCAUAACACUAUACCAGGUCUUUUUUGUUCUUUGGGACCCCAUGGAUGGAAAGGGAAAAUUGUGCACUUCCUUCUCUGCAUUUUAUCUGUGCUUUCUUGAGAGUGAGGCCAGAAUUCUGAUAGCUGAGCAGAUUUUGCAUCUUCCAGUAGCUUGAUCAAAUUCUUGUUUCCGGAUAUCCGACCUUCAUCAAGAGGAGUUU
RNAcentral lists this unclassified non-coding RNA (240 nucleotides) under Hevea brasiliensis (rubber tree). Lineage: Eukaryota; Viridiplantae; Streptophyta; Magnoliopsida; Malpighiales; Euphorbiaceae. The record is from RNAcentral.